RNAcentral lists this ribosomal RNA (455 nucleotides) under uncultured bacterium. RNAcentral describes it as "partial 16S ribosomal RNA". It matches the Rfam family "Bacterial small subunit ribosomal RNA", at positions 355 to 802 of the family's 1533-position model. The record is from RNAcentral.
UGGGGAAUUUUGGACAAUGGGCGAAAGCCUGAUCCAGCAAUGCCGCGUGUGUGAAGAAGGCCUUCGGGUUGUAAAGCACUUUUGUCCGGAAAGAAAUCCUUGGCUCUAAUACAGUCGGGGGAUGACGGUACCGGAAGAAUAAGCACCGGCUAACUACGUGCCAGCAGCCGCGGUAAUACGUAGGGUGCAAGCGUUAAUCGGAAUUACUGGGCGUAAAGCGUGCGCAGGCGGUUUGCUAAGACCGAUGUGAAAUCCCCGGGCUCAACCUGGGAACUGCAUUGGUGACUGGCAGGCUAGAGUAUGGCAGAGGGGGGUAGAAUUCCACGUGUAGCAGUGAAAUGCGUAGAGAUGUGGAGGAAUACCGAUGGCGAAGGCAGCCCCCUGGGCCAAUACUGACGCUCAUGCACGAAAGCGUGGGGAGCAAACAGGAUUAGAUACCCUGGUAGUCCACGCCU